RNAcentral lists this small nucleolar RNA (135 nucleotides) under Physeter macrocephalus (sperm whale). RNAcentral's name for it is "Physeter catodon (sperm whale) Small nucleolar RNA SNORA70 (ENSPCTG00005019398.1)". It matches the Rfam family "Small nucleolar RNA SNORA70". Rfam says of the family: snoRNA U70 seems to be exclusive to mammals and is a member of the H/ACA class of snoRNA which contain H (ANANNA) and ACA box motifs. H/ACA box snoRNAs are involved in the conversion of uridines to pseudouridines (5-ribosyluracil) a constituent of structural RNAs (transfer, ribosomal, small nuclear, and small nucleolar). The record is from Rfam by way of RNAcentral. Lineage: Eukaryota; Metazoa; Chordata; Mammalia; Artiodactyla; Physeteridae.
UUGCAGCCAAUUAAGCCAACCAUGCUCUUUUCCCCAUGGGGGCCCGGUGUGCAAUGGCUGCAAACAGCAGCCUCCUCCGUAGUGUAUGCAGCCUGUUGCCUGUAUGGGUUGCCCUAAGAGACCCUGGAAACAGCC